Molecule: unclassified non-coding RNA, 20 nt
Filed under: Mus musculus (house mouse)
Lineage: Eukaryota; Metazoa; Chordata; Mammalia; Rodentia; Muridae
Description: oocyte_clustered_small_RNA8885
Source: RNAcentral
AAUGACCCCGACUGCCGGCA